GAAUUCGUUGCCUCGUCUCUCCUCGCCUCUCCGGCGGUGAUCUCGGGGAGCGAGUUUGUUCCUUGCUUCGUCCAGACGAUCGCUAAAUCAAAUCGAAGCGAUCGAUCAUGUACGCCUCGAGGGAGUGAGCAGUGGGAGUGCUUGGGAUGGCUCGAAGUGACCAAGGAUGAUGGAAUAGCAGUUCCUAGCAGGCAGUAGCGGCAGUAGUGGAAGCAGCAUCAUCUACAACUUUCCAAUGGUUCAUCUGAUUUGGAUACAUGUCAUUUGUUGCUGGUGGAAGCAGCAUCAUCUUCAACUGUGACAAUUUGGAUAUCAGCCAUUUGUUGCUGAGCUUUUACAAUGACAGCAUGCUGGUGGACAAAAAGGGUUGCUUAUUGGGUGAGGCUUUUGUUGUUUUUCCUCAUCCAUGCAAGCUGAGUUCCCUCUCCAGAGGGACAGAGAGAACAUGGGCCGUAGGUAUGUUGAGAUCGAAGUCCUGGCCUGAUGCUGUCAGCUGAUCAUGUUAUGAGAUCAGGUCCCAGUUUGCCAUCGUAUACCUCCCUAUUUCAAUUCCACCCACCCUCAUCUUGACGUUAACCUGUCUCCUAAACUAAACUCCUCUGAUGCAUAACAUUACUUGCCUUUUAAGUUCUUUUCAAAUACAUUGACUUGGUUUCUCUGACAA
This is a long non-coding RNA of Musa acuminata subsp. malaccensis (wild Malaysian banana), 664 nucleotides long. RefSeq lists it as uncharacterized. Lineage: Eukaryota; Viridiplantae; Streptophyta; Magnoliopsida; Zingiberales; Musaceae. The record is from RefSeq and is a predicted model, not a curated record.